Molecule: long non-coding RNA, 305 nt
Filed under: Mytilus galloprovincialis (Mediterranean mussel)
Lineage: Eukaryota; Metazoa; Mollusca; Bivalvia; Mytilida; Mytilidae
Source: RNAcentral
AAAAAAUCAUGAAAUAUUUGGUCUAGUAAUAAAAAAAAUCACACAAAAAACAGUAGUUGUCGUUUGUUGAUGUCGUUCUCGCUUCUCGUUUUUUUAGCUCACCUGGCCCGAAGUGUCAAGUGAGCUUUUCUUAUAUCUUGGCGUCCGUCGUCCGUCGUCGUAACUUUUACAAAAAUCUUCUCCUCUGAAACUACUGAGCCAAAUUCAACCAAACUUAGCCACCAUCAUCAUUGGGAUAUCUAGUAUAACAAAUGUGUCCGGUGACCUUGCCAACUAACCAAGAUGGUCGCCAUGGAUAAAAAUAG